AUUUCUUACAGGCUUGGUUGUAGAGGAUUCUUUCUACCAGUCUCCAGUGAGUUUUUAGUGAGAAUUAUUCCACAUGUAGAUGUAUUUUUGAUGUGUUCACAGGGAAGGUACGCGGUCCUCUCACUGUUGUGGCCUCUCCCGUUGCGGAGCACGGGCUCCAGACACGCAGGCUCAGUGGCCAUGGCUCACGGGUCUAGCCGCUCCGUGGCAUGUGGUAUCUUCCCAGACCGGGGCACGAACCCGUGUUCCCUGCAUCGGCAGGCAGACUCUCAACCACUGUGCCACCAGGGAAGCCCCUUUGUGAACAUUUUAAAGCUAUACUAUCAUGG
Orcinus orca (killer whale) is the source of this 329-nucleotide long non-coding RNA. RefSeq lists it as uncharacterized. The record is from RefSeq and is a predicted model, not a curated record. The transcript has 2 exons. Lineage: Eukaryota; Metazoa; Chordata; Mammalia; Artiodactyla; Delphinidae.